This 292-nucleotide ribosomal RNA is filed under the name uncultured bacterium. Its description in RNAcentral is "partial 16S ribosomal RNA". It matches the Rfam family "Bacterial small subunit ribosomal RNA", at positions 505 to 796 of the family's 1533-position model. The record is from RNAcentral.
GUGUCAGCCGCCGCGGUAAUACGGAGGGUGCAAGCGUUAUCCGGAUUCACUGGGUUUAAAGGGUGCGUAGGCGGAUUGGUAAGUCCGUGUUGAAAUCCCCGAGCUUAACUCGGGAACUGCCGUGGAUACUAUCAAUCUUGAAUGCUGUGGAGGUAAGCGGAAUAUGUCAUGUAGCGGUGAAAUGCUUAGAGAUGACAUAGAACACCGAUUGCGAAGGCAACUUGCUACACAGUAAUUGACGCUGAGGCACGAAAGCGUGGGGAUCAAACAGGAUUAGAUACCCCGGUAGUCC